CUCACUAGUCGAGUCGGCCUGCGCGGAAGAUGUAACGGGGCUCAAACCACACACCGAAGCUGCGGGUGUCACGUAAGUGACGCGGUAGAGGAGCGUUCUGUAAGCCUGUGAAGGUGAGUUGAGAAGCUUGCUGGAGGUAUCAGAAGUGCGAAUGCUGACAUGAGUAACGACAAUGGGUGUGAAAAACACCCACGCCGAAAGACCAAGGGUUCCUGCGCAACGUUAAUCGACGCAGGGUUAGUCGGUUCCUAAGGCGAGGCUGAAAAGCGUAGUCGAUGGGAAACAGGUUAAUAUUCCUGUACUUCUGGUUACUGCGAUGGAGGGACGGAGAAGGCUAGGCCAGCUUGGCGUUGGUUGUCCAAGUUUAAGGUGGUAGGCUGAAAUCUUAGGUAAAUCCGGGGUUUCAAGGCCGAGAGCUGAUGACGAGUCGUCUUUUAGAUGACGAAGUGGUUGAUGCCAUGCUUCCAAGAAA
RNAcentral lists this ribosomal RNA (472 nucleotides) under Pseudomonas aeruginosa. RNAcentral's name for it is "partial 23S ribosomal RNA". It matches the Rfam family "Bacterial large subunit ribosomal RNA", at positions 1141 to 1615 of the family's 2925-position model. Lineage: Bacteria; Pseudomonadati; Pseudomonadota; Gammaproteobacteria; Pseudomonadales; Pseudomonadaceae. The record is from RNAcentral.